This 478-nucleotide ribosomal RNA is filed under the name uncultured bacterium. Its description in RNAcentral is "partial 16S ribosomal RNA". It matches the Rfam family "Bacterial small subunit ribosomal RNA", at positions 28 to 523 of the family's 1533-position model. The record is from RNAcentral.
GACGAACGCUGGCGGCGUGCCUAACACAUGCAAGUCGAGCGAAGUGAGUACUACGGUACGAACUUAGCGGCGGACGGGUGAGUAACGCGUGGACAAUCUACCCUGUAGACUGGGAUAACACCUCGAAAGGGGUGCUAAUACCGGAUAAUGUCGAGAAGCGGCGUCGCUUUUCGAAGAAAGGAGAGAAUCCGCUAUAGGAGGAGUCCGCGUCCCAUUAGCUAGUUGGUGAGGGUAACGGCCCACCAAGGCGACGAUGGGUAGCCGGCCUGAGAGGGUGAACGGCCACACUGGAACUGAGACACGGUCCAGACUCCUACGGGAGGCAGCAGUGGGGAAUAUUGUGCAAUGGGGGAAACCCUGACACAGCAACGCCGCGUGAGCGAAGAAGGCCUUCGGGUUGUAAAGCUCGAUAGUAUGGGAAGAUAAUGACGGUACCAUACGAAAGCCCCGGCUAACUACGUGCCAGCAGCCGCGGUAA